Long non-coding RNA from Homo sapiens (human), 2172 nucleotides. RefSeq lists it as uncharacterized. The transcript has 3 exons. The record is from RefSeq and is a predicted model, not a curated record. NCBI's taxonomy places the organism in Eukaryota, Metazoa, Chordata, Mammalia, Primates, Hominidae.
UUACAUAUUGACAUUGAAUAUACUAAUUAAAAAGUGUACAACACAUUUGCUUUUUAAAUAUUAUGAUUAUCAUAUUUCAAUAUAGUUGUAUAAUCCUAUGUAUUUUAUUUUAGGCACAGAAAAUGGAAGCAUUAUUCUUAGAAGAGUUCACCAGACUGCCAAAAAGGAUCAUAGCAUGAAAAAUGAUGAGAAUCUAUGCUUUAAUAACUAGCUGAAAGAAUCAGAACCACCUCUCCUAAAUAUCUUUGGUAAAAUUAUCCAAUUUCAGGGGCAAAGUCAAGAACUAUCAUGAAUUACUGCAAGAGCUCCCAGUGGUCCAAGGAAUACGACAUGAAUACUGCAGUGAGGGUUUCCUUUGUUCUGGCUGAGAAUGUGGCUCUAGGUGAUAAGAUCCUCAGGAAAAUCUCCUAAAGGAAGAGGAAAUAUAAACAGUAAAGAGAUGUACAAGCACAAAGAAAAGACCGUGUGAGGACACAGUUACAAAGUGAUCAUCUGCAAGCCUCAGGAGAAGCCUACUCUGCUCACACUUGGACCUUGAACUUCCAGACUCCAGAUCUGUGAGAAAACAAAUUUCUGUUGUUUAAGCCACCCAGUCUGUGGUAUUUUGCUAUGACAGCCCUAGCAAACUAAUACAGUCUCUUACUAUUCAAAAUACCAAAUAUGUCCCUUUCUGCACAUGAGGGAUGAAAAAACCCUAUAAAAUAUCAAAUACAGUCAGUCUUCUAAAGCAGAAGGAUAGGAAAAAACCAAUAAUGUUGAGAAGAGUAAAUGAAAUUUAAGACAAUGCAUACACAAACACUUUAUAUAAUGUAAAGUCAUGUAGAUAUUAGUUAUGGAACAUCUCCUGGCUAUUGCUUUUUAUCUCUCUAAAUGACAUUUUCAAUCAUAACAUUUUCCAUAUUCUCAUGCUCCAAAAGGUCAAAUUUCCUUUUGUUUAAAAUAACUUCACAGUCCAUGAUAUUUGGUGUGAGUACCUAUGUAUAUGGGUAAGGGGGAUAGACAUACCAUUUUCAUAAAAUGAGGUAUAGAUAUAGGGUUGUUUGCUUUUAAAUACCCUCUAAAAGCUUUCUAAUAUUGCUGGCGUUCCACUCAACUAGCUGGCCUUCCCUAUUUUCUUUUCUUCUCUCUCAUUCCAUGCCUCUCCGGGUUUGGACUGAGAAUCCAAUCUAAUUUUAUAAGAAAAUCAAGUACAAUGCAUAGAAUAUGGGCAGACUGGAAGGCUGCAAGGCCAUCUCUACCAUUUAAUUUAGAUUGGAUUAUGAGAGGCUCAAGCUGUUGCCUAGGAUCUCUGGGGAGUGAAAGUGACCUUCCUGAAGUGUGAGCUAGUGUCUGAUUCUUAUUCUGUGCUCUGGCAGCAAAUCUCUUCCUUUUCUCAGGAAUUCCAAAGGGAAUAGUCAGAUGUAAUAUUUAGCCUAGGAGCAGAAUGUAAUGUGUUUAUUGUCUAAAACCCAUCUUUCUCUGAUAGCUAUUACAUUGUUUCUUCUUUUAAUGUGACUCAUUAAUUUAGCUGCCUAGAGAAUGAUGUUUAUGAGGCCAAGAUUAUAUCCAUAAGGACCAGCGUGGUGAGUCAUUUUACAAAUGUGCAACAUUGGUAAUAAGGAAAAUUAAGUAGAAAAGUAUUGUUAAAAUUAUCUUAAUCCAUGAUCCACAUAACAACAUUUAUUUUCAAUCUUUAGCCUCACUGAUAACAGUUUUUUAGAAUGCUCUUCAUAUGCAAAGCAUAAAUGUUAACAUCUAUAUUGUCAUAAGUCUUUUAAAUUUAUUUUUAUUUUCCUCAACUCAAGCAACUCUAUGUUAAGCAGCGUAAGUCAUAUAGUAUAUUCGACUUGGCCAAAGGAAGCAUCUGCAAUGUAAGCAGUGUGGACUGCAGAAACUAUGCUCAAGUUGGUGAAAUAACAUCUGCAAAAGAAAGCACUGUCUGAAAGGAAAAUAAACAAGAGGUAUAGAAAUUAUUCAGGGUGAGUUAAGAUUGAUAUGCAAUGAAAUUAAGGAGAGAAAUAUUUACAUUAAACAGCAGAAGUCUUUGUUAGACCUGAAGUUUAUUAGACCUUGUCUUGUUGACUUAGGGAAAUUCUUUUCCUAGAUACAUUUAACAAGUAAUUUGAACAUUUAAAAAAAAAACCAGGAAAUAAAAAAAAAAAUUCAGGCAAAUAUUUAGCACCUGAAAACACA